This 400-nucleotide ribosomal RNA is filed under the name uncultured bacterium. Its description in RNAcentral is "partial 16S ribosomal RNA". It matches the Rfam family "Bacterial small subunit ribosomal RNA", at positions 360 to 776 of the family's 1533-position model. The record is from RNAcentral.
AAUAUUGGGCAAUGGGCGAAAGCCUGACCCAGCAACGCCGCGUGAAGGAAGAAGGUCUUCGGAUUGUAAACUUCUGUCGUCAGGGACGAAAAAGGACGGUACCUGGCAAGAAAGCCCCGGCUAACUACGUGCCAGCAGCCGCGGUAAUACGUAGGGGGCGAGCGUUGUCCGGAAUUACUGGGCGUAAAGGGCGCGUAGGCGGCCUGUUAAGUUAGAUGUGAAAUCCCCGGGCUCAACUUGGGUGUUGCAUUUAAAACUGGCAGGCUUGGGUGCAGGAGAGGAAAGUGGAAUUCCUAGUGUAGCGGUGAAAUGCGUAGAUAUUAGGAGGAACACCAGUGGCGAAGGCGACUUUCUGGACUGUAACUGACGCUGAGGCGCGAGAGCGUGGGGAGCAAACAGG